RNAcentral lists this unclassified non-coding RNA (497 nucleotides) under Hevea brasiliensis (rubber tree). The record is from RNAcentral. Lineage: Eukaryota; Viridiplantae; Streptophyta; Magnoliopsida; Malpighiales; Euphorbiaceae.
AUAGAAUGAAAAAUCAAAUCGAAUUGAAAUUAUAGAAUAAUUGAAUUGAAUCCAAUCAAUUUAGUUUAAUUCAAUUUGAUUCAUUGAUUUUGAACAGAAAUCCACCAAGAAAAGGUUGUCAUUUCACUCUCCUCUCUACCUAACCAAUAGCCUAAUAUCCAACAGUGCCUACUGCCUUAUCCCAAUUUCCAAUACCAGAUUCCUGACAUAGUGCCACACAAUUUCAAGGGAAGCAAUGAAUCCCUUGAAUAUGUGCGAAGCUAAAGUGAAGGCACUCAUGUUGGAUUUACUCAAAAGAGGUUCAUAUAUUUUAGUUUCAGCAUUGUCUAUCACUAGUUUUGGAUUGUUAGUUUAUUGCAAUCCUGGUUGAUCAUUCGAUGGCCAUAAAAAGAAGAAGAAGCGAUAAAAGAAGAGAAACUAUAGAUCUGUGAGUAUAAGAAGAAGAAAAUGAAGAAGAAGAGGUAGAGAGCGAAGAAAAAGAACUAGGUGGCAGUCAG